UAGGGAAUCUUCCGCAAUGGGCGAAAGCCUGACGGAGCAACGCCGUGUGAGUGAUGAAUGUCUUCGGAUCGUAAAACUCUGUUAUUAGGGAAGAACCAAUGUGUAAGUAACUAUGCACGUCUUGACGGUACCUAAUCAGAAAGCCACGGCUAACUACGUGCCAGCAGCCGCGGUAAUACGUAGGUGGCAAGCGUUAUCCGGAAUUAUUGGGCGUAAAGCGCGCGUAGGCGGUUUUUUAAGUCUGAUGUGAAAGCCCACGGCUCAACCGUGGAGGGUCAUUGGAAACUGGAAAACUUGAGUGCAGAAGAGGAAAGUGGAAUUCCAUGUGUAGCGGUGAAAUGCGCAGAGAUAUGGCGGGACACCAGUGGCGAAGGCGACUUUCUGAUCUGUAACUGACGCUGAUGUGCGGAAGCGUGGGGAUCAAACAGG
This 429-nucleotide ribosomal RNA is filed under the name Actinomycetes bacterium. Its description in RNAcentral is "Actinobacteria bacterium partial 16S ribosomal RNA". It matches the Rfam family "Bacterial small subunit ribosomal RNA", at positions 355 to 776 of the family's 1533-position model. Lineage: Bacteria; Bacillati; Actinomycetota; Actinomycetes. The record is from RNAcentral.